Molecule: ribosomal RNA, 767 nt
Filed under: uncultured bacterium
Lineage: Bacteria
Description: bacterial SSU rRNA
Rfam family: Bacterial small subunit ribosomal RNA
Source: RNAcentral
GGUGGUUUGUCGCGUCGUCUGUGAAAUUCCGGGGCUUAACUCCGGGCGUGCAGGCGAUACGGGCAUAACUUGAGUACUGUAGGGGAGACUGGAAUUCCUGGUGUAGCGGUGAAAUGCGCAGAUAUCAGGAGGAACACCGGUGGCGAAGGCGGGUCUCUGGGCAGUAACUGACGCUGAGGAGCGAAAGCAUGGGGAGCGAACAGGAUUAGAUACCCUGGUAGUCCAUGCCGUAAACGGUGGGCGCUAGGUGUGGGUUUCCUUCCACGGGAUCCGUGCCGUAGCUAACGCAUUAAGCGCCCCGCCUGGGGAGUACGGCCGCAAGGCUAAAACUCAAAGGAAUUGACGGGGGCCCGCACAAGCGGCGGAGCAUGUGGAUUAAUUCGAUGCAACGCGAAGAACCUUACCUGGGCUUGACAUAUACAGGAUCGCGCCAGAGAUGGUGUUUCCCUUGUGGCUUGUAUACAGGUGGUGCAUGGUUGUCGUCAGCUCGUGUCGUGAGAUGUUGGGUUAAGUCCCGCAACGAGCGCAACCCUUGUCUUAUGUUGCCAGCACGUUGUGGUGGGGACUCGUAAGAAACUGCCGGGGUUAACUCGGAGGAAGGUGGGGAUGACGUCAAAUCAUCAUGCCCCUUAUGUCCAGGGCUUCACACAUGCUACAAUGGUCGGUACAGUGGGUUGCCAGUCCGUGAGGGCGAGCUAAUCCCGUAAAGCCGGUCUCAGUUCGGAUCGGGGUCUGCAACUCGACCCCGUGAAGUCGGAGUCGCUAGU